UACGUAGGGGGCAAGCGUUGUCCGGAAUGAUUGGGCGUAAAGGUCGCGUAGGCGGCCCGGUAAGUCUGGAGUGAAAGUCCUGCCUUCAAGGUGAAUUGCUUUGGAUACUGUCGGGCUUGAGUGCAGGAGAGGUAAGUGGAAUUCCCAGUGUGGCGGUGAAAUGCGUAGAGAUUGGGAGGAACACCAGUGGCGAAGGCGACUUACUGGACUGUAACUGACGCUGAGGCGCGAAGGUGUGGGGAGCAAACAG
This 250-nucleotide ribosomal RNA is filed under the name uncultured prokaryote. Its description in RNAcentral is "partial 16S ribosomal RNA". It matches the Rfam family "Bacterial small subunit ribosomal RNA", at positions 524 to 775 of the family's 1533-position model. The record is from RNAcentral.